This 432-nucleotide ribosomal RNA is filed under the name uncultured bacterium. RNAcentral describes it as "partial 16S ribosomal RNA". It matches the Rfam family "Bacterial small subunit ribosomal RNA", at positions 29 to 506 of the family's 1533-position model. The record is from RNAcentral.
AACGAACGCUGGCGGCAUGCCUAACACAUGCAAGUCGAACGAGACCUUCGGGUCUAGUGGCGCACGGGUGCGUAACGCGUGGGAACCUGCCCUUAGGUUCGGAAUAACUCCCCGAAAGGGGUGCUAAUACCGGAUAAUGUCUUCGGACCAAAGAUUUAUCGCCUUUGGAUGGGCCCGCGUUGGAUUAGCUAGUUGGUAGGGUAAAAGCCUACCAAGGCGACGAUCCAUAGCUGGUCUGAGAGGAUGAUCAGCCACACUGGGACUGAGACACGGCCCAGACUCCUACGGGAGGCAGCAGUGGGGAAUAUUGGAAAAUGGGCGAAAGCCUGACCCAGCAAUGCCGGGUGAGUGAUGAAGGCCUUAGGUUUGUAAAGCUUUUUUCCCCGGGAUGAUAAUGACAGUCCCGGGAAAAUAAGCCCCGGCUAACUCCGU